This 224-nucleotide non-coding RNA is filed under the name Deltaproteobacteria bacterium. The record is from RNAcentral. Lineage: Bacteria; Pseudomonadati; Myxococcota; Myxococcia.
UAAAUGAAAACAGUUUCAAACGGUGGUAUCCAGGAAAAGGGAACCCCGUCAUCUCCGAUUAACCGGAGAGAGUCGGGGACGGACCCGCCGCUGUAGUCCCGAUCCCGAACUAAAUUCGGGAUAAGUGCCUUGACAAAAAAGCCACUGUCCUUCGACAAGCUCUGGAUGGGAAGGCGAGUUAAGGUCGGGAGAGUCAGAAAACCUGCCUGGAUAUUCUUCACAAG